CGAACGCUGGCGGCAGGCCUAACACAUGCAAGUCGAACGAUAAGCCACCUUCGGGUGGUGGACAGUGGCAGACGGGUGAGUAACGCGUGGGAACGUGCCUUUCGGUUCGGAAUAACCCAGGGAAACUUGGGCUAAUACCGGAUACGCCCUUCGGGGGAAAGAUUCAUUGCCGAAAGAUCGGCCCGCGUCGGAUUAGCUAGUUGGUGGGGUAAUGGCUCACCAAGGCGACGAUCCGUAGCUGGUCUGAGAGGAUGACCAGCCACACUGGGACUGAGACACGGCCCAGACUCCUACGGGAGGCAGCAGUGGGGAAUAUUGGACAAUGGGCGCAAGCCUGAUCCAGCCAUGCCGCGUGGGUGAAGAAGGCCUUAGGGUUGUAAACCCCUUUCAGCGGGGAAGAUAAUGACGGUACCCGCAGAAGAAGUCCCGGCUAACUCCGU
Molecule: ribosomal RNA, 440 nt
Filed under: uncultured bacterium
Lineage: Bacteria
Description: bacterial SSU rRNA
Rfam family: Bacterial small subunit ribosomal RNA
Source: RNAcentral